Molecule: ribosomal RNA, 1324 nt
Filed under: Oedipoda caerulescens
Lineage: Eukaryota; Metazoa; Arthropoda; Insecta; Orthoptera; Acrididae
Description: 16S ribosomal RNA
Rfam family: Archaeal large subunit ribosomal RNA (bases 883-1247)
Source: RNAcentral
AAUAAUCGAUUUUAUUAUUGUUUUUUUUUGUUAUUUAUUUUAUUUAAUGGAAAUAAUUUUGUGGAUUUUUGUCUUAGUAUUUUUUGUAGAAUUGAUUAUAUUUAUUAUAGUUUAAUAGUAAUGUAGUUGAAUUAUUAAUUUUUUUAAAAUUUUGUUAAGUAGAUUUUAUUUAUUGUACCUUUUGUAUCAGGGUUUAUCAAAAUUGCUUUUUUUAUUAAUUCUUCUCGAUUUAGGUUGAUUUACAAAUAAAUGAUGGUUAUUGUUUCAUAAAUAUUAUAAAUUUAUUUGUGGUAAUGAAAUGUUAUUUCGUUUCCUAAUGUAUCUAGUUUCUUAAGAAAAAUUUUAAUUUUUUAAGAUUGGUGUUUUGAUUUAAUUUUUUAGUUUAGAAUAUCUAUUUAUCUAUUCUUUAGGGGAUAAGCUCUAGAGUGUAAUAUAUCUAUAAUUUAUUGUAUUUUAUUUUUAUAAUAAUAAGCUUAAGAUCAGCUAUUUUUUGAUUGCGUUUUAGUUCAUUUUUUAUAUAACAUGAUUUUAUAAUUAUUUUAGGUUUUUUAUUAAGAUGAUUAAUUUAAUUUUUAAAUUUUUGUAAUAAUGGUAUAAUUAGUAUAUUUUUUUGUUUGUUAUUAAUUUUUUGUUAUUUUAUUAUAAGGAACUAGGCAAAAUUAAUUUCCGCCUGUUUAUCAAAAACAUGUCUUCUUGAUAAUAUUUUGAAGUCUGGCCUGCUCACUGAUUUUAUUUUUGAAGAGCCGCGGUAUUUUGACCGUGCAAAGGUAGCAUAAUCAUUAGUUUCUUAAUUGGAUGCUGGAAUGAAUGGUUUGACGAGAAAUUAACUGUCUCUUAAUAAAUUAUAAAAUUUAACUUUUAAGUUAAAAGGCUUAAAUAUAUCUUUAGGACGAGAAGACCCUAUAGAGCUUAACAUUAAAAGUUUUUUGUGUUUUAUCUUGUUUAUCUUUCUAUAAUAAAUUUUAAUGUUUGGUUGGGGUGACAUAAAGAAUAAAUAAACUCUUUAUUAUAAAAUCAUUAAUUUAUGUUUAUUUGAUCCAUAAUUUAUGAUCAUAAGAUUAAGUUACCUUAGGGAUAACAGCGUAAUCAUUUUUGAGAGUUCUUAUCAAUAAAAUGGGUUGCGACCUCGAUGUUGGAUUAAGAAUAAUAUUGGGUGUAGUAGCUUAAUAAUUAGGUCUGUUCGACCUUUAAAUUCUUACAUGAUCUGAGUUCAGACCGGUGUAAGCCAGGUCGGUUUUUAUCCUAAGAAUUAUAAUGAUUAUAUUAGUACGAAAGGACCAUAUAAUUGAAAUAAUUUUUAUUAUCUGAUUUAAAUUAAUUGUUU